CGACAAGUUACUGUAGGAUAUGGU
Molecule: non-coding RNA, 24 nt
Filed under: Arabidopsis thaliana (thale cress)
Lineage: Eukaryota; Viridiplantae; Streptophyta; Magnoliopsida; Brassicales; Brassicaceae
Source: RNAcentral